UCCCUGAUGGUCCAGUGGCUAAAACUCUACGCUCCCAAUGCAGAGGGCCUGGGUUCGAUCCUAGUCAGGGGA
RNAcentral lists this transfer RNA (72 nucleotides) under Bos taurus (domestic cattle). It matches the Rfam family "tRNA". From Rfam's summary of the family: Transfer RNA (tRNA) molecules are approximately 80 nucleotides in length. Their secondary structure includes four short double-helical elements and three loops (D, anti-codon, and T loops). RNAcentral also lists the same sequence under 5 other names. Lineage: Eukaryota; Metazoa; Chordata; Mammalia; Artiodactyla; Bovidae. The record is from Rfam by way of RNAcentral.